This 570-nucleotide ribosomal RNA is filed under the name uncultured eukaryote. RNAcentral describes it as "SSU rRNA". It matches the Rfam family "Eukaryotic small subunit ribosomal RNA", at positions 121 to 710 of the family's 1831-position model. The record is from RNAcentral.
UUGAUAAUCAAAUCUACAUGGAUAACUGUGGUAAUUCUAGAGCUAAUACAUGCUGUCAAACCUGACUUCUGGAAAGGUUGUAUUUAUUAGAUAUCAAACCAUCAUUGGUGAUGAUUCAUAGUAACUGAUCGAAUCGCAGUCCGCUGCGAUAAAUCAUUCAAGUUUCUGCCCUAUCAGCUUUCGAUGGUAGUGUAUUGGACUACCAUGGCAGUCACGGGUAACGGAGAAUUAGGGUUCGAUUCCGGAGAGGGAGCCUGAGAAACGGCUACCACAUCUACGGAAGGCAGCAGGCGCGUAAAUUACCCAAUCCCGAUUCGGGGAGGUAGUGACAAGAAAUAACAACUCGGGCGGCGCAAGCCGUUGCGAGAUUGCAAUGGGUACAAUUUAAAACACUUAACGAGUAACAAUUGGAGGGCAAGUCUGGUGCCAGCAGCCGCGGUAAUUCCAGCUCCAAUAGCGUAUAUUAAAGUUGUUGCAGUUAAAAAGCUCGUAGUCGAAGUUCUGGCUGGUCCUGUUUCCGGCUCCGGUCGACUCAGGACCUAGUCAUCCAUCGGAGAACCUUUGUCGUCC